AUUAGAAAUUUGAUUGAUGUUGGAUGAGUAUACUAAUUGUUGGUUUAAGUUUUAUGAUAAGGGUGUAUACACAAAAUUUCGAGGCGAAAUAAAUAAGACGAGAAACAAAAUAACAAAGAAAUUAUAUUUCAAUAAAUGUAUUGAGUACAAUCUCUGUAAACAGUUUAUAAUGAAAAAUAAACUAAGUCCUCUGAUUCUGUUUCGUAGCUUGAAAGUGAUAUGUGUUGAUGUCGACGUGGAGUUGAAUGUAGACUAACCUGUUGUCAACGUCAAUUUGAGUUUGAGUGUGGGAUGACGUUUUGUCGACGUCAACCUGAGUUUGAGUUUUGUUUGGGUAUAUUCGAAUGAGGGCUGACAAAGCUUGAAUCUCAGUCGAAUAUGUUUGGGUGUAUUUGAAUAGUCGGCACAGUUUUGAUGUGCUUGUUGACUAAUUGCAGAGAGAAUUCUAAGAGAAUUUGAUGAGCUCUUGAGAAUAAUGAUUUUUCCGUCCCCUCAACUGAGAGAUGUGAGGUCUAUUUAUUAGGGAAUGGAGAUCCCUUCAUGGACUUGGUAAUUUAUGGGUUUGGGCCCGUUUAUGACUUGGAAGUCUUUUUACCUUUGCCACUUGACCACCUUAUUUGGACUAAUAAUCUGGGCUAGCCCAAUACUUUAUAACCCAAAUUGUAUUUGUUUAAUCUAAUUUGGAUAUGUAAUUUGAGUGGGCUAAAUUAAUUAAAUUGGGCUAUUCAUAUUUUUUUAGCUCAAUAAUAAUUAAUUUAUUUUCAUGUAAAACACUAAUAAAUUUUUAGUGUCUACAAAUUCCCCCCUCGAGACAGCGUCACGUACACGAUUUGAAGUGUUGAAUCGUGACAAUGUCUCGAAUUUGUGUUUGGUUUAGCAAUUAGGUGACAAUCACCAUGUUACUUGAAAUUUUUUUUUUUUUUGAUAAGGUCAUGUACUGUUUACAAUUCUAUCAAGUCGCGAAUCCAAAAACUAUAAUCAUAUUCUGAUUAGGAUUUUUUUAUUAGCCGAUCGAAACAAAUCUUAUCUUUUAGUACACCACCGUAAUCUAUAAAACCCAAUAGAGAUUUACGAUUUUUUUUUUUUUUUUUCACGCUGCAUCAGAAGCUUUUCUUUUCCUGCAUCUCAUUGUCGCACAAUAUCAAGAGAGAAAAGAAAGAGUCUUUUCAACCUGCUACCGAUAUACAAACAAGAAAUUAAUUUGAUCUACACUCUGUAGUGCUGGAUUCUUCAUCAAAGUCAUUAACUUGGGCAUCAUACCUCAACAGUACAUCAUAUUUUGCGAGAUACUGAACUUCUAGACUAUCUUUGAAGCGUUGCAGAAGCUCAAGACUAGUGAGGUGAUGAUUUUGUUACACUUUUUUUUGUCUAGAAUAUUUUGUUUGCACAGUAUCACUUUUUUGUACAUGUGUACCCGUGUAUUUUUGUGUGUGUGUGUGUAUGACAGGUUCACUUGAAGAUGAAGACGAAGGCGGGGAUUCCGUCGUGAUGGGCCACAUGUCUUUAGCACUGUGAGCCUGUCAGGGGUGUUAUUCAUAUGUCUUUAGCACUGCGACACUGACACCUCCAGACAGUCCCUUGAAGACGAAGACGAAGACGAAGGCGGGAUUCCGUCGUGAUGGGCCACAUGUCUUUAGCACUGUGAGCCUGUCAGGGGUGUUAUUCAUAUGUCUUUAGCACUGCGACACUGACACCUCCAGACAGUCCCUUGAAGACGGAGACGAAGACGAAGGCGGGGAUUCCGUCGUGAUGGGCCACAUGUCUUUAGCACUGUGAGCCUGCCAGGGGUGUUAUUCAUAUGUCUUUAGCACUGCGACACUGACACCUCCAGACAGUCCCUUGAAGACGAAGACAAAGACAGGGAUUCCGUCGUGAUGGGCCACAUGUCUUUAGCACUGUGAGCCUGUCAGGGGUGUUAUUCAUAUGUCUUUAGCACUGCGACACUGACACCUCCAGACAGUCCCUUGAAGACGAAGACGAAGACGAAGGCAGGGAUUCCGUCGUGAUGGGCCACAUGUCUUUAGCACUGUGAGCCUGUCAGGGGUAUUAUUCAUAUGUCUUUAGCACUGCGACACUGACACCUCCAGACAGUCCCUUGAAGACGAAGACGAAGGCAGGGAUUCCGUCGUGAUGGGCCACAUGUCUUUAGCACCGUGAGCCUGUCAGGGGUGUUAUUCAUAUGUCUUUAGCACUGCGACACUGACACCUCCAGACAGUCCCUUGAAGACGAAGACGAAGGCUGGGAUUCCGUCGUGAUGAGCCACAUGUCUUUAGCACUGUGACACUGACACCUCCAGACAGUCCCUUGAAGACGAAGACAUUCGACCCCUCUCCCCUUAGUCAUUAUGUUCGACCCCUCUCCCCUUAGCUAUUUGUAUGCUCCUUUCUUUUUUUUAACACGCAUUU
Beta vulgaris subsp. vulgaris (sugar beet) is the source of this 2406-nucleotide long non-coding RNA. RefSeq lists it as uncharacterized. NCBI's taxonomy places the organism in Eukaryota, Viridiplantae, Streptophyta, Magnoliopsida, Caryophyllales, Amaranthaceae. The transcript is spliced from 3 exons. The record is from RefSeq and is a predicted model, not a curated record.